RNAcentral lists this transfer RNA (67 nucleotides) under Monoglobus pectinilyticus. It matches the Rfam family "tRNA". From Rfam's summary of the family: Transfer RNA (tRNA) molecules are approximately 80 nucleotides in length. Their secondary structure includes four short double-helical elements and three loops (D, anti-codon, and T loops). The record is from RNAcentral. Lineage: Bacteria; Bacillati; Bacillota; Clostridia; Monoglobales; Monoglobaceae.
GGUAUAGCUCAGUUGGCUAGAGCGCUAGAUUGUGGCUCUAGAGGUCAAGGGUUCAAUUCCCUUUACC